Molecule: ribosomal RNA, 318 nt
Filed under: uncultured bacterium
Lineage: Bacteria
Description: bacterial SSU rRNA
Rfam family: Bacterial small subunit ribosomal RNA
Source: RNAcentral
GACGAACGCUGGCGGCGUGCCUAAUACAUGCAAGUCGAGCGAACAGAGAAGGAGCUUGCUCCUUCGACGUUAGCGGCGGACGGGUGAGUAACACGUGGGCAACCUACCCUAUAGUUUGGGAUAACUCCGGGAAACCGGGGCUAAUACCGAAUAAUCUGUUUCACCUCAUGGUGAAACACUGAAAGACGGUUUCGGCUGUCGCUAUAGGAUGGGCCCGCGGCGCAUUAGCUAGUUGGUGAGGUAACGGCUCACCAAGGCGACGAUGCGUAGCCGACCUGAGAGGGUGAUCGGCCACACUGGGACUGAGACACGGCCCAG